This 253-nucleotide ribosomal RNA is filed under the name uncultured bacterium. Its description in RNAcentral is "partial 16S ribosomal RNA". It matches the Rfam family "Bacterial small subunit ribosomal RNA", at positions 524 to 776 of the family's 1533-position model. The record is from RNAcentral.
UACGUAGGGUGCAAGCGUUGUCCGGAAUUAUUGGGCGUAAAGAGCUCGUAGGCGGUUUGUCGCGUCUGCUGUGAAAAUCCAGGGCUUAACCCUGGACCUGCAGUGGGUACGGGCAGACUGGAGUGCGGUAGGGGAGAUCGGAAUUCCUGGUGUAGCGGUGAAAUGCGCAGAUAUCAGGAGGAACACCGAUGGCGAAGGCAGGUCUCUGGGCAUUAACUGACGCUGAGGAGCGAAAGCAUGGGGAGCGAACAGG